AGGCAUUUGGCUGCCUCUGUCACUUUCAGAACAUUACAGAGAAGAUUUUCAUGGCCCCUAUACAAGAAUGGCAUGCAGAUUCAUGAAGCAUUCCAUUAAAAA
Small nuclear RNA from Callithrix jacchus (white-tufted-ear marmoset), 102 nucleotides. NCBI's taxonomy places the organism in Eukaryota, Metazoa, Chordata, Mammalia, Primates, Cebidae. The record is from Ensembl.